AGCAGUGCUGGUAAGGAUAGUGAGGAAGACGAUGAAGAUGAUCAUUAUGACCAGUUGUUGGAGACGGAUGAUGAAGUUGAAGUUGUCAAAGAAGUUAAGGAACCACUGAUUGAUUUUGAGAUUGAAAAGGGUAAAGGGAAGGAA
Papaver somniferum (opium poppy) is the source of this 144-nucleotide long non-coding RNA. RefSeq lists it as uncharacterized. Lineage: Eukaryota; Viridiplantae; Streptophyta; Magnoliopsida; Ranunculales; Papaveraceae. The transcript is spliced from 3 exons. The record is from RefSeq and is a predicted model, not a curated record.